UAAAAUAAUGCAAAUAUUUUUAUUUUGGUGAG
Molecule: non-coding RNA, 32 nt
Filed under: Mus musculus (house mouse)
Lineage: Eukaryota; Metazoa; Chordata; Mammalia; Rodentia; Muridae
Source: RNAcentral